AAUUCUCUGCGAUGUACGUGACUUUAAAAUCUAUUCUUGAACCAACAAAAGAAUAGAAGGUGACAUUUAAAAUGGCAGUGUGCAAGCCCUUAAACACGACAGCCUAAAAACUGCCGGGGAAGCCUAAUGUCAAAAAAGAAGUUGCCUGACUGGUUUUAACCGGUUCAAGUAAAUUUUUAGACACGGCAUUGCGGAGAACUA
This 201-nucleotide non-coding RNA is filed under the name Candidatus Schekmanbacteria bacterium RBG_16_38_10. Its description in RNAcentral is "6S RNA". It matches the Rfam family "6S / SsrS RNA". From Rfam's summary of the family: E. coli 6S RNA was the first non coding RNA to be sequenced, but its function was unknown until recently. The record is from RNAcentral. Lineage: Bacteria; Candidatus Schekmaniibacteriota.